CGAUGGCUCAGUUGGUAGAGCGACGCAUUCGUAAUGCGUAGGUCGUGGGUUCGAGUCCCAUUC
Molecule: transfer RNA, 63 nt
Filed under: bovine gut metagenome
Rfam family: tRNA
About the family: Transfer RNA (tRNA) molecules are approximately 80 nucleotides in length.
Source: RNAcentral